Molecule: long non-coding RNA, 727 nt
Organism: Portunus trituberculatus (swimming crab)
Lineage: Eukaryota; Metazoa; Arthropoda; Malacostraca; Decapoda; Portunidae
Exons: 4
Source: RefSeq, a predicted model, not a curated record
CAACUUCACAGUUAAGUUCAGUGCCUGCUGUCUUCACGCCUGUCGGGCGCCAGACUUACACAGGUUGAGCAAAAUAAAGCCAAAACAUGCAGCAGCAAGUUCAUUGGUCUUACACAGCCUGCCCAGCUGAACACCCAUAUAAGCCAGCAACAAGGGCUGAAUGAGUCUGACACUUUAAUAAUAUCCUUUGUGCCCUGCCCUGGAUCCUGGCAAGCCGCAAGGGUGGGCAGGGGGACCAGGUUAGGGAUGCGUACUCCAUCACAGGCCUGACCUGAGCCCGAUAGAGGGACACUAUCCCCCAACCAUCGAGGAUCUUCCUGGGACAUCUGACACAGCUUAGCUUCCAGACUGCAUCCCUGGUGAUCUUCCUUACAUGAGAGAUGAAGGUUGCAAGAAACAAGUGCAGGUUGCAAGAAACAAGUGAAAGACCUGCCACCCUGCAGUGAGCAAACAUCAUGAGUCCAUGUUAGGAGAGUGCUCAACAGAAUCUACCAGAGGAGUUUCACCACCCCCAGCACCACCAUUUGUCAUAAAACUACAGCCAGCCUUCAGAGCUAGUGCUGGCACUAAAAUGGGGGACCAGCUUCCCUGCUCAGUGCUGAAUAGGAUUAGAAAAGUAACUAGUUCCCUAUGGUCCAAAGAAAAGACUAGAAAUUUUUAAGUGGCUGCUAUAUAUAUAAACUGCAAAAAAUCAAUGAAUGAAAGUUUUUAAAUUGUAUAUAAAUUC